CUCUCCUUUCUCUCCUAAUUUCCAGGACAGGAGAACUUUGCGAGGAUUGUAUCCAGUCUCAUCUUAGGGAGAAUUCAAACCAGGCAAGGGUUAUAGAAGAAAACUACCUUGAUAGUCAAAGAGUCAGAAGGGCCAAGGGUCAACACGUUCCUGGAAUAUAGACUGUCAAGUGGUGUCCACACUUGGACCUGGAGGGAAGAAGAGGAGCCCAAAGAGAACCUUCAGGCCAGCCACAGCCUUAGCCUUUAGAGAAGGGUCGUCCUCCUCUCACAGAGUGGACCUCCAGGAAAUGCUUUGCCUUUACCUAUGCUGCACAACGCUGGGGCUCUGCAGGGAUCACAACCAACUCUCCAGUCCAGGCCACCUGUCAGGUCCAAGUUCACCACAAUCAGCUUCCAAUUUGGGUCAAGUAGAACCUGACUUAGAGGAAGAAUUUGAAAAGGAUCUCAAAGCGUGUUCAUAAAGCCAGUAAAGAAGUUUCCGGCUCCUCCUUAACCCCUCUCUGAAUCUCAACCUCAGGAUCCAGGUGGUUGGGCCCUAGAGCCCUGGAGACUCCUACUGGCUUCUUUCCUCCCAAAGCUGCUGCCCCUCCACCCCAUGGAACUGCUCCCCUCCUGAAAUUGGGUGUGUGAGCUGCAGAAGCCUCAGCUCUUCCCUCUGUCAUUGUGCC
Molecule: long non-coding RNA, 670 nt
Organism: Heterocephalus glaber (naked mole-rat)
Lineage: Eukaryota; Metazoa; Chordata; Mammalia; Rodentia; Bathyergidae
Source: Ensembl